Molecule: ribosomal RNA, 468 nt
Filed under: Micrococcus luteus
Lineage: Bacteria; Bacillati; Actinomycetota; Actinomycetes; Micrococcales; Micrococcaceae
Description: partial 23S ribosomal RNA
Rfam family: Bacterial large subunit ribosomal RNA
Source: RNAcentral
GGGAAGUGAAACAUCUCAGUACCCACAGGAAGAGAAAACAAAAGUGAUUCCGUUAGUAGUGGCGAGCGAACGCGGAUGGGGGCUAAACCGUAUGUGUGUGAUACCCGGCAGGGGGUUGCAUGUGCGGUGUUGUGGGGCCCCCUCCUUGUCAUGUCUGCCGGCAUGGCGCAGUGAGGUGCGGGGCAUAUAGACGAACAGUGUGGAUGCUGGACCUAGAGGGGUGAGAGUCCCCGUAGUCGAAAAUGUGUUCCGCCGCUGUUUGGGGGGGGGUUUGCCCCGAGUAGCACGGGGGGCCCCGAGGGAAUCCCCGUGUGAAUCUGCCAGGACCACCUGGUAAGCCUGAAUACUACCUGUUGACCGAUAGCGGAUCAGUACCGUGAGGGAAUGGUGAAAAAGUACCCCGGGGAGGGGAGUGAAAUAGUACCUGAAACCAUGUGCCUACAAACCGUUGGAGCCUUCUUGUGGGGU